Molecule: ribosomal RNA, 486 nt
Filed under: uncultured bacterium
Lineage: Bacteria
Description: partial 16S ribosomal RNA
Rfam family: Bacterial small subunit ribosomal RNA
Source: RNAcentral
AUUGAACGCUGGCGGCAUGCCUUACACAUGCAAGUCGAACGGCAGCACGGGUGCUUGCACCUGGUGGCGAGUGGCGAACGGGUGAGUAAUACAUCGGAACAUGUCCUGUAGUGGGGGAUAGCCCGGCGAAAGCCGGAUUAAUACCGCAUACGAUCUACGGAUGAAAGCGGGGGACCUUCGGGCCUCGCGCUAUAGGGUUGGCCGAUGGCUGAUUAGCUAGUUGGUGGGGUAAAGGCCUACCAAGGCGACGUUCAGUAGCUGGUCUGAGAGGACGACCAGCCACACUGGGACUGAGACACGGCCCAGACUCCUACGGGAGGCAGCAGUGGGGAAUUUUGGACAAUGGGCGAAAGCCUGAUCCAGCAAUGCCGCGUGUGUGAAGAAGGCCUUCGGGUUGUAAAGCACUUUUGUCCGGAAAGAAAUCCUUGGCCCUAAUACGGUCGGGGGAUGACGGUACCGGAAGAAUAAGCACCGGCUAACUACGUG